ACUCUAUCCAGAGACAAUAUCCUUCAGAAGUGAAGAAUCAAUCAAAACAUUCACAGAUGAAGGAAAACUAAAAGAAUAUGACACAAGAUUCACCAAAUUAGACCUACAUCAAAAGAGUGGCUAAAGUAAGUUCUCUUCUAAACAGAAAGGAAAUGAUAAAGAAUCUUGUAACAUCAUGCAAGGAGAAAGAACACAGCAAAAAUAUAGACACAUUGUACUUUGAAGGUCAACACUGGAUCCUGGGAUGAAGUUGAAAAGAUCAUUAUCUAGAAGAACAGUAGAAAACAAACAUUACCCCAAGGAAUUGGGACAUGAUGUUUCUCUUUUAGUAUCAUGUCUGCAUUCAGGUCUCAAGCCAGCCAGCCUUUGAAUUGGAAAUGAAAAUUGGCUCUCCUGGUUCUCAGGCCUUUGAACUUGGACUGGAACCCUACCAUUGGCUCUCCCCAGUCUCCAGAUUGCUAACUCACCCUGCAGAUGUUAGGUCUUG
Molecule: long non-coding RNA, 487 nt
Organism: Herpailurus yagouaroundi (jaguarundi)
Lineage: Eukaryota; Metazoa; Chordata; Mammalia; Carnivora; Felidae
Exons: 3
Source: RefSeq, a predicted model, not a curated record